GACGAACGCUGGCGGCGUGCUUAACACAUGCAAGUCGAACGGAAAGGCCCUGCUUUUGUGGGGUGCUCGAGUGGCGAACGGGUGAGUAACACGUGAGUAACCUGCCCUUGACUUUGGGAUAACUUCAGGAAACUGGGGCUAAUACCGGAUAGGAGCUCCUGCUGCAUGGUGGGGGUUGGAAAGUUUCGGCGGUUGGGGAUGGACUCGCGGCUUAUCAGCUUGUUGGUGGGGUAGUGGCUUACCAAGGCUUUGACGGGUAGCCGGCCUGAGAGGGUGACCGGCCACAUUGGGCCUGAGAUACGGCCCAGACUCCUACGGGAGGCAGCAGUGGGGAAUAUUGCACAAUGGGCGGAAGCCUGAUGCAGCAACGCCGCGUGCGGGAUGACGGCCUUCGGGUUGUAAACCGCUUUCGCCUGCGACGAAGCGUGAGUGACGGUAAUGGGUAAAGAAGCACCGGCUAACUACGUG
RNAcentral lists this ribosomal RNA (468 nucleotides) under uncultured bacterium. RNAcentral describes it as "partial 16S ribosomal RNA". It matches the Rfam family "Bacterial small subunit ribosomal RNA", at positions 28 to 507 of the family's 1533-position model. The record is from RNAcentral.